This 301-nucleotide ribosomal RNA is filed under the name uncultured bacterium. RNAcentral's name for it is "partial 16S ribosomal RNA". It matches the Rfam family "Bacterial small subunit ribosomal RNA", at positions 509 to 808 of the family's 1533-position model. The record is from RNAcentral.
CAGUAGCCACGGUAAUACGAAGGGGGCUAGCGUUGUUCGGAAUUACUGGGCGUAAAGGGCGCGUAGGCGGCCAUUCAAGUUAGAUGUGAAAGCCCUGGGCUCAACCUAGGAAUUGCAUUUGAUACUGUUUGGCUUGAGUUCGGGAGAGGUGAGUGGAAUUCCCAGUGUAGAGGUGAAAUUCGUAGAUAUUGGGAAGAACACCAGUGGCGAAGGCGGCUCACUGGACCGACACUGACGCUGAGGCGCGAAAGCGUGGGGAGCAAACAGGAUUAGAUACCCGGUAGUCCCUGUCUCUUAUACA